Molecule: microRNA precursor, 67 nt
Filed under: Cebus imitator (Panamanian white-faced capuchin)
Lineage: Eukaryota; Metazoa; Chordata; Mammalia; Primates; Cebidae
Description: miRNA (ENSCCAG00000004840.1)
Source: RNAcentral
GAGUACUCCCAUCAUUACCUUGUGAAUUAGAAAAGCUCAAUUCACAAGGUAUUGACGGGAGUACUCA